GAUGAACGCUGGCGGCGUGCCUAAUACAUGCAAGUCGAGCGAACGGACGAGAAGCUUGCUUCUCUGAUGUUAGCGGCGGACGGGUGAGUAACACGUGGAUAACCUACCUAUAAGACUGGGAUAACUUCGGGAAACCGUAGCUAAUACCGGAUAAUAUUUUGAACCGCAUGGUUCAAAAGUGAAAGACGGUCUUGCUGUCACUUAUAGCUGGAUCCGCGCUGCAUUAGCUAGUUGGUAAGGUAACGGCUUACCAAGGCAACGAUGCAUAGCCGACCUGAGAGGGUGAUCGGCGACACUGGAACUGAGACACGGUCCAGACUCCUACGGGAGGCAGCAGUAGGGAAUCUUCCGCAAUGGGCGAAAGCCUGACGGAGCAACGCCGCGUGAGUGAUGAAGGUCUUCGGAUCGUAAAACUCUGUUAUUAGUGAAGAACAUAUGUGUAAGUAACUGUGCACAUCUUGACGGUACCUAAUCAGAAAGCAACGGCUAACUACGUG
This 497-nucleotide ribosomal RNA is filed under the name uncultured bacterium. RNAcentral's name for it is "partial 16S ribosomal RNA". It matches the Rfam family "Bacterial small subunit ribosomal RNA", at positions 28 to 507 of the family's 1533-position model. The record is from RNAcentral.